CUAAGAAUAUUCCGCAAUGGAGGAAACUCUGACGGAGCGACGCCGCGUGGAUGAUGAAGGUCGGAAGAUUGUAAAAUCCUUUUAAGUAUGAUGAAUAACCUGAUCAGGAAAUGGGACAGGGAUGACCGUAAUACUUGAAUAAGCAACGGCUAAUUACGUGCCAGCAGCCGCGGUAACACGUAAGUUGCGAGCGUUGUUCGGAAUUAUUGGGCGUAAAGGGCAUGUAGGCGGAAUUGCAAGCUUGAUGUGAAAGGCAGGGGCUUAACUCCUGGAUUGCGUUGAGAACUGCAUAACUAGAGUAACUGAGGGGCAGCCGGAAUUCCAGGUGUAGGGGUGAAUCUGUAGAUAUCUGGAAGAACACCAAUGGCGAAGGCAGGCUACCAGCAGAUUACUGACGCUGAGGUGCGAAGGUAUGGGGAGCAAACAGGAUUAGAUA
This 436-nucleotide ribosomal RNA is filed under the name uncultured Treponema sp. RNAcentral describes it as "bacterial SSU rRNA". It matches the Rfam family "Bacterial small subunit ribosomal RNA", at positions 355 to 784 of the family's 1533-position model. The record is from RNAcentral. Lineage: Bacteria; Pseudomonadati; Spirochaetota; Spirochaetia; Treponematales; Treponemataceae.